CAAGCGACAUUUCCAUGGCAAUCGUGAAAUUACGAACACCCAGCCCACUUAAUUAGACAUGUAUUCGAGUAGGUGUUUAUUAGAUAAUUAGCCGAAGUGUGUAAUAUUUUGUUUGUGCAGUGAAAUUAUGGAAUCCCGUACAUCAAGAAUUCUAAAAAUGGCCAUGCUGUUAUCAAACGAUGUGCAUGAAGUGGAUGCAACAAGAGAUGUUAUGGGACUUUCCAAUCCAACAGUAAAUAACUCAUCACCAUCAGAAGAAAUUGAAGUGCAAGAUAACUUUACCUCCACGGCCCCAACUGAAAUUAAGCUGAAUGCUGAUCUUGACAGGUAAGUUUAUAAUUUUUAAAAGAUACCGACAGGACAACUAAGUAUAGAAUUGUAUUUUACUUUAAAAUGCGCGCUUAAUUCGAUCGUGAAGAAGAUACAAAAAGAUUUGUCUAAGUAAAUUAGGUAUCAUAAAUAAUUCCCUCUUCUAAAGUUUUGUGUUAAUGCCAAAGGUUUACAUUCAUAUU
Molecule: long non-coding RNA, 512 nt
Organism: Photinus pyralis (common eastern firefly)
Lineage: Eukaryota; Metazoa; Arthropoda; Insecta; Coleoptera; Lampyridae
Exons: 3
Source: RefSeq, a predicted model, not a curated record